UGUUUUAGUGUUUAUCGGCUGGGGGGCCUGGGCUAAGGUUCUUGUUUCUCUGUACUUUAUAGUAAUGACUUUUUAUACAACAGAAUCAUUGAUCAUGAAA
Molecule: long non-coding RNA, 100 nt
Organism: Strigops habroptila (Kakapo)
Lineage: Eukaryota; Metazoa; Chordata; Aves; Psittaciformes; Psittacidae
Exons: 2
Source: RefSeq, a predicted model, not a curated record